This 12778-nucleotide long non-coding RNA is filed under the name Brassica napus (rape). Its description in RNAcentral is "long non-coding RNA (BNAP_LNC020793)". Lineage: Eukaryota; Viridiplantae; Streptophyta; Magnoliopsida; Brassicales; Brassicaceae. The record is from RNAcentral.
UUUUUGUUAUCCUUAUUUCUAAGUCACAAUACCAAAUCUACAAUAGUUCUCUAUAAAAAUGAAAAUUUUCCAAAAAUAGCAGGUAUUGUAAAAAAUUGUUUUAAAAAUGCAAUCUAUGGAAGAAAAAAUCUGAAAAAAUACUUAAAUAUCAACAAAAAUUCUUGUUAUCCUAAUUUCUAAGUGACAAUCCCCAAUUUACGAUAGUUCUCUAUAUAAAUGAAAAUUUCCAAAAAUAUGAGGUUUUUUAAAACUUAUUUAAAAAAUGCAACCUAUUAAUGAAAUGUUUUUAAAAAAAAUACCUAUCUAUUAACAAAAAUUCUUGUUAUACUAGUUUAUAAGUUACAAUCCUAAAUCUACAAUAUUUCUCUAUGUAAAUGAAAUAUUUCCAAAGACAGGAGGUUUUUUAUAAAUUAUUUAAAAGUGCAACCUAUUGAUGAAAUUUUUUGAAAGAAUAUUCAUCUAUUAACAAAAAUUCAUGUUAUACUAAUUUCUAAGUCAAACUAUUGAUGAAAUUUAGUGAGAGAAUACUCAUCUAUCAACAAAAUUCUAGUUAUUAUAAUUUCUAACUCACAAUUCCAAAUCUACAAUAGUUCUCUAUAGAAAUAAAAACUUUCCAAAAAUAGCAGCUUUCGUAAAAAUUAUUGAGAAAAUGCAACCUAUUAAUGAAAAAUUCUGAAAAAUACUCAUCUAUCAGAGAAAAUUCUUGUUAUCCUAAUUUCAAAGUCACAACCUCAAAUCUACAAUAGUACUCUAUACAAAUGAAAACUUUCCAAAAAUAUCAGUUUUUGUAAAAAUGUAUUGAAAAAUGUAACCCGUUGAUGGAAAAUUAUGAAAGAAUACUCAUCUAUCAAAACAAAUUCUUGUUAUCCUUAUUUCUAAGUCAGAGUCCCAAAUAUACAACAGUUCUCUAUAAAAAUGAAAAUUUUCAAAAAAUAGGAGGUUUUGUAAAAAAAUGUUUUAAAAAUGCAAUCUAUGGAAUAAAAAAUCUGAAAGAAUACUUAAAUAUCAACAAAAAUUUUUGUUAUCCUAAUUUCUAAGUGACAAUCCUCAAUCUACAGCAGUUCUCUAUUUAAAUGAAAACUUUCCAAAAAUAUGAGUUGUAUUAAAAAUUAUUUUAAAAAUGCAACCUACUAAUGAAGUUUUUUGAAAGAAUACUUAUAUAUCAACGAAAAUUCUUGUUAUACUAAUUUCUAAGUGACAAUGCCAAAUCUACAAUAGUUCUUUUUCUAAAUGAAAACUUUCCAAAAAUAAGAAGUUUUUUAAAAGUUAUUUAAAAAAUGCAACCUAUUGAUCAACAAUUCUGAAAGAAUACUCAUCUAUCAACGAAAAUUUUUGUUAUCCUAAUUUUAAAGUCACAACCCCAAAUCUAUAAUAGUACUCUAUAAAAAUGAAAACUUUUCAAAAAUAACAGUUUUUAUAAAAACUAUUGAAAAAUGUAACUUAUUGAUGAACAAUUCUGAAAGAAUACUCAUCUAUCAAAAACAAUUCUUGCUAUUCUUAUUUCUAAGUCACAAUCCCAAAUCUACAACAGUUCUCUAUAAAAAUGAAAACUUUUCAAAAAUAGCAGCUUUUGUACAAAUUAUUUAAAAAAUGCAAUCUAUUGAAGAAAAAAUCUGAAAGAAUACUCAUCUAUCAACAUAAAUUCUUGUUAUCCUAAUUUCUAAGUGACAAUCCUAAAUAUAAAAUAGUUCUCUAUAUAAAUGAAAACUUUCCAAAAACAGGAGGUUUUUUAAAAGUUAUAUAAAAAAUGCAACCUAUUGAUGAAAAUUUCUGAAAGAAUACUCAUCUAUUAACAAUAAUUCUUGUUAUCCUAAUUUCUAAGUCACAAUCCUAAAUCUAUAAUAGUUCUCUAUAAAAAUGAAAACUCUCCAAAAAUAGCAGUUUUUGUAAAAAUUAUUGAAAAAUGUAACUUAUUAAUGACAAAAUCUGAAAGAAUACUCAUAUAUUAAAACAAAUUCUUGUUGUCCUUAUUUCUAAGUCACAAUCUCAAGUCUACAACAGUUCUCUAUACAUAUGAAAACUUUCCAAAAACAUCAGUUGUUGUAAAAAGUAUUUAAGAAAUGGAUUCUAUUGAAGAAAAAUCUGAAAGAAUACUUAUAUAUCAACAAAAAUUCUUGUUAUCCUAAUUUCUAAGUGACAGUCCCACAUCUACAAUAGUUCUCUAUAUAAAUGAAAAUUUCCAAAAAUAUGAGGUUUUUUAAAACUUUUUUAAGAAAUGCAACCUAUUGAUGAAAAAUUCUGAAAAAUAUCCAUCUAUUAACAAAAAUUCUUGUUAUACUAAUUUCUAUGUUACAAUCCUAAAUCUACAAUAGUUCUCUAUAUAAAUGAAAAAUUUCCAAAAACAGGAGGUUUUUUAAAAAUUAUUUAAAAAGUGCAACCUAUUGAUAAAUUUUUUGAAAGAAUACUAAUCUAUUAACAAAAAUUCAUGUUAUACUAAUUUCUAAGUCAAACUAUUGAUGAAAUUUUGUGAGAGAAUACUCAUCUAUCAACAAAAUUUUGUGACAGAAUACUAAUUUCUAAGUCACAAUCCCAAAUCUACAAUAGUUCUCUAUAGAAAUAAAAUUUUUCCAAAAAUAGCAGAUUUCGUAAAAAUUAUUGAGAAAAUGCAACCUAUUAAUGAAAAAUUCUGAAAAAUACUCAUCUAUAAAAGAAAAUUCUUGUUAUCCUAAUUUCAAAGUAACAACCUCAAAUCUACAAUAGUUCUCUAUACAAAUGAAAACUUUCCAAAUGACCAACUUCGGUCAAUUCUAAGAGUAACCUGUUUACCUAAAUAAGUCUUCUCUGGAAAUUUCAAAAUUUUUUGUUUACAAAGGAAAGUUAGAAGACUUCUAGGAAAGUCUUUUAUUAAAACACACAAAAAGUCAAUUGCAAAACUAACCUAUGCAUUGACCAGAAGACUCCUAAAGAAGUCUUUGUCGAACAGAUCUGAAAAAUAAAAUGUGGUUCGCAAUUUCAUACCUUGAACUCGCGAGAUGACUUGCGUGGUUUCUCCAAUAACCCAGAACUUCACUAGAACAACUACCUACUCGUUUAUCACCAAGAAUCGUGAGCUUAUGAACCUUACAUAAUUUGUAAUCAAAAUCUUCAGUUUUUUUGAUGAAUUUUGUGAGAAACUGUAAGAUAUGUGGUUUGUGUGGAUAGAAAAUGAGAAAGGAUAAAGAAAAAAAUCGAAACUUUAGAGCAUGAACACUCUCAAUUUGGUAGUUCAUGGUGGUUGAGGUAUUGAUGUCAAUGGCAAAGUUGUAAAUAUUUGGUGAAGAUGACGAUGGUAAGGUAAAAACAUUAUUUUCAUACUUAAAUAUCAACAAAAAUUCUUGUUAUCCUAAUUUCUAAGUGACAGUCCCACAUCUACAAUAGUUCUCUAUAUAAAUGAAAAUUUCCAAAAAUAUGAGGUUUUUUAAAACUUUUUUAAGAAAUGCAACCUAUUGAUGAAAAAUUCUGAAAAAUAUCCAUCUAUUAACAAAAAUUCUUGUUAUACUAAUUUCUAUGUUACAAUCCUAAAUCUACAAUAGUUCUCUAUAUAAAUCAAAAUUUCCAAAAAUUAGAGGUUUUUUAAAACUUAUUUAAGAAAUGCAACCUAUUGAUGAAAAAUUCUGAAAAAUAUCCAUCUAUUAACAAAAAUUCUUGUUAUACUAAUUUCUAUGUUACAAUCCUAAAUCUACAAUAGUUCUCUAUAUAAAUCAAAAUUUCCAAAAAUUAGAGGUUUUUUAAAACUUAUUUAAGAAAUGCAACCUAUUGAUGAAAAAUUCUGAAAAAUAUCCAUCUAUUAACAAAAAUUCUUGUUAUACUAAUUUCUAUGUUACAAUCCUAAAUCUACAAUAGUUCUCUAUAUAAAUCAAAAUUUCCAAAAAUUAGAGGUUUUUUAAAACUUAUUUAAGAAAUGCAACCUAUUGAUGAAAAAUUCUGAAAAAUAUCCAUCUAUUAACAAAAAUUCUUGUUAUACUAAUUUCUAUGUUACAAUCCUAAAUCUACAAUAGUUCUCUAUAUAAAUCAAAAUUUCCAAAAAUUAGAGGUUUUUUAAAACUUAUUUAAGAAAUGCAACCUAUUGAUGAAAAAUUCUGAAAAAUAUCCAUCUAUUAACAAAAAUUCUUGUUAUACUAAUUUCUAUGUUACAAUCCUAAAUCUACAAUAGUUCUCUAUAUAAAUCAAAAUUUCCAAAAAUUAGAGGUUUUUUAAAACUUAUUUAAGAAAUGCAACCUAUUGAUGAAAAAUUCUGAAAAAUAUCCAUCUAUUAACAAAAAUUCUUGUUAUACUAAUUUCUAUGUUACAAUCCUAAAUCUACAAUAGUUCUCUAUAUAAAUCAAAAUUUCCAAAAAUUAGAGGUUUUUUAAAACUUAUUUAAGAAAUGCAACCUAUUGAUGAAAAAUUCUGAAAAAUAUCCAUCUAUUAACAAAAAUUCUUGUUAUACUAAUUUCUAUGUUACAAUCCUAAAUCUACAAUAGUUCUCUAUAUAAAUCAAAAUUUCCAAAAAUUAGAGGUUUUUUAAAACUUAUUUAAGAAAUGCAACCUAUUGAUGAAAAAUUCUGAAAAAUAUCCAUCUAUUAACAAAAAUUCUUGUUAUACUAAUUUCUAUGUUACAAUCCUAAAUCUACAAUAGUUCUCUAUAUAAAUCAAAAUUUCCAAAAAUUAGAGGUUUUUUAAAACUUAUUUAAGAAAUGCAACCUAUUGAUGAAAAAUUCUGAAAAAUAUCCAUCUAUUAACAAAAAUUCUUGUUAUACUAAUUUCUAUGUUACAAUCCUAAAUCUACAAUAGUUCUCUAUAUAAAUCAAAAUUUCCAAAAAUUAGAGGUUUUUUAAAACUUAUUUAAGAAAUGCAACCUAUUGAUGAAAAAUUCUGAAAAAUAUCCAUCUAUUAACAAAAAUUCUUGUUAUACUAAUUUCUAUGUUACAAUCCUAAAUCUACAAUAGUUCUCUAUAUAAAUCAAAAUUUCCAAAAAUUAGAGGUUUUUUAAAACUUAUUUAAGAAAUGCAACCUAUUGAUGAAAAAUUCUGAAAAAUAUCCAUCUAUUAACAAAAAUUCUUGUUAUACUAAUUUCUAUGUUACAAUCCUAAAUCUACAAUAGUUCUCUAUAUAAAUCAAAAUUUCCAAAAAUUAGAGGUUUUUUAAAACUUAUUUAAGAAAUGCAACCUAUUGAUGAAAAAUUCUGAAAAAUAUCCAUCUAUUAACAAAAAUUCUUGUUAUACUAAUUUCUAUGUUACAAUCCUAAAUCUACAAUAGUUCUCUAUAUAAAUCAAAAUUUCCAAAAAUUAGAGGUUUUUUAAAACUUAUUUAAGAAAUGCAACCUAUUGAUGAAAAAUUCUGAAAAAUAUCCAUCUAUUAACAAAAAUUCUUGUUAUACUAAUUUCUAUGUUACAAUCCUAAAUCUACAAUAGUUCUCUAUAUAAAUCAAAAUUUCCAAAAAUUAGAGGUUUUUUAAAACUUAUUUAAGAAAUGCAACCUAUUGAUGAAAAAUUCUGAAAAAUAUCCAUCUAUUAACAAAAAUUCUUGUUAUACUAAUUUCUAUGUUACAAUCCUAAAUCUACAAUAGUUCUCUAUAUAAAUCAAAAUUUCCAAAAAUUAGAGGUUUUUUAAAACUUAUUUAAGAAAUGCAACCUAUUGAUGAAAAAUUCUGAAAAAUAUCCAUCUAUUAACAAAAAUUCUUGUUAUACUAAUUUCUAUGUUACAAUCCUAAAUCUACAAUAGUUCUCUAUAUAAAUCAAAAUUUCCAAAAAUUAGAGGUUUUUUAAAACUUAUUUAAGAAAUGCAACCUAUUGAUGAAAAAUUCUGAAAAAUAUCCAUCUAUUAACAAAAAUUCUUGUUAUACUAAUUUCUAUGUUACAAUCCUAAAUCUACAAUAGUUCUCUAUAUAAAUCAAAAUUUCCAAAAAUUAGAGGUUUUUUAAAACUUAUUUAAGAAAUGCAACCUAUUGAUGAAAAAUUCUGAAAAAUAUCCAUCUAUUAACAAAAAUUCUUGUUAUACUAAUUUCUAUGUUACAAUCCUAAAUCUACAAUAGUUCUCUAUAUAAAUGAAAAAUUUCCAAAAACAGGAGGUUUUUUAAAAAUUAUUUAAAAAGUGCAACCUAUUGAUAAAUUUUUUGAAAGAAUACUAAUCUAUUAACAAAAAUUCAUGUUAUACUAAUUUCUAAGUCAAACUAUUGAUGAAAUUUUGUGAGAGAAUACUCAUCUAUCAACAAAAUUUUGUGACAGAAUACUAAUUUCUAAGUCACAAUCCCAAAUCUACAAUAGUUCUCUAUAGAAAUAAAAUUUUUCCAAAAAUAGCAGAUUUCGUAAAAAUUAUUGAGAAAAUGCAACCUAUUAAUGAAAAAUUCUGAAAAAUACUCAUCUAUAAAAGAAAAUUCCUGUUAUCCUAAUUUCAAAGUCACAACCCUAAAUCUACAAUAGUCCUCUAUACAAAUGAAAACUUUCCAAAAUUAGCAGUUUUUGUAAAAAUAUAUUGAAAAAUGUAACCCAUUGAUGGAAAAUUAUUAAAGAAUACUCAUCUAUCAAAAAAAAAUCUUGUUAUCCUAAUUUCUAAUUCACAAUCUCAAAUCUACAACAGUUCUCUAUAAAAAUGAAAAAUUUCCAAAAAUAGCAGGUUUUGUAAAAAAUUGUUUUAAAAAUCCAAUCUAUGGAAGAAAAAAUCUGAAAGAACACUUAAAUAUCAACAAAAAUUCUUGUUAUCCUAAUUUAUAAGUGACAAUCCCCAAUUUACAAUAGUUCUCUAUAUAAAUGAAAAUUUCCAAAAAUAUGAGGUUUUUUAAAACUUAUUUAAAAACUGCAACCUAUUGAUGAAAUAUUUUUUAAAAAAAUACUAGGCCCAUCGAUUAACAAAAAUUCUUGUUAUACUAGUUUCUAAGUUACAAUCCUAAAUCUACAAUAGUUCUCUAUGUAAAUGAAAAAUUUCCAAAAACAUGAGCUUUUUUAAAAAUUAUUUAAAACGUACAACGUAUUGAUGAAAUUUUUUGAAAGAAUACUCAUCUAUUAACAAAAAUUCAUGUUAUACUAAUUCCUAAGUCAAACUAUUGAUGAAAUUUAGUGAGAGAAUACUCAUCUAUCAACAAAAUUCUAGUUAUCCUAAUUUCUAAGUCACAAUCCCAAAUCUACAAUAGUUCUAAAUAGAAAUAAAAACUUUCCAAAAAUAGCAGCUUUCGUAAAAACUAUUGAGAAAAUGCAACCUAUUAAUGAAAAAUUCUGAAAAAUACUCAUCUAUCAAAGAAAAAUCUUGUUAUCCUAAUUUCAAAGUCACAAACCCAAAUCUACAAUAGUACUCUAUACAAAUGAAAACUUUCCAAAAAUAGCAGUUUUAUGAAAAAAUAUAUUGAAAAAUGUAAGCCAUUGAUGGAAAAUUAUGAAAGAAUACUCAUCUAUCAAAACAAAUUCUUGUUAUCCUUAUUUCUAAGUCACAAUCUCAAAUCUACAACAGUUCUCUAUAAAAAUAAAAAUUUUCCAAAAAUAGCAGGUUUUGUAAAAAAUUGUUUUAAAAAUGCAAUCUAUGGAAGAAAAAAAUCUGAGAGAAUACUUAAAUAUCAACAAAAAUUCUUGUUAUCCUAAUUUCUAAGUGACAAUCCACAAUCUAAAUUAGUUGUCUAUUUAAAUGAAAACUUUCCAAAAAUAGAAGUUUUAUAAAAAAUUAUUUUAAAAAUGCAACCUACUGAUAAAGUUUUUUGAAAGAAUACUUAUAUAUCAAAGAAAAUUCUUGUUAUACUAAUUUCUAAGUGACAAUCCAAAUCUACAAUAGUUCUCUAUGUAAAUGAAAACUUUCCAAAAAUAAGAGGUUUUGUAAAAAUUAUUUAAAAAAUGCAACCUAUUGAUGAACAAUUAUGAAAGAAUACUCAUCUAUCAACGAAAAUUCUUGUUAUCCUAAUUUUAAAGUCACAACCCAUAGUUCUCUAUGUAAAUGAAAACUUUCCAAAAAUAAGAGGUUUUGUAAAAAUUAUUUAAAAAAUGCAACCUAUUGAUGAACAAUUAUGAAAGAAUACUCAUCUAUCAACGAAAAUUCUUGUUAUCCUAAUUUUAAAGUCACAACCCAUAGUUCUCUAUGUAAAUGAAAACUUUCCAAAAAUAAGAGGUUUUGUAAAAAUUAUUUAAAAAAUGCAACCUAUUGAUGAACAAUUAUGAAAGAAUACUCAUCUAUCAACGAAAAUUCUUGUUAUCCUAAUUUUAAAGUCACAACCCAUAGUUCUCUAUGUAAAUGAAAACUUUCCAAAAAUAAGAGGUUUUGUAAAAAUUAUUUAAAAAAUGCAACCUAUUGAUGAACAAUUAUGAAAGAAUACUCAUCUAUCAACGAAAAUUCUUGUUAUCCUAAUUUUAAAGUCACAACCCAUAGUUCUCUAUGUAAAUGAAAACUUUCCAAAAAUAAGAGGUUUUGUAAAAAUUAUUUAAAAAAUGCAACCUAUUGAUGAACAAUUAUGAAAGAAUACUCAUCUAUCAACGAAAAUUCUUGUUAUCCUAAUUUUAAAGUCACAACCCAUAGUUCUCUAUGUAAAUGAAAACUUUCCAAAAAUAAGAGGUUUUGUAAAAAUUAUUUAAAAAAUGCAACCUAUUGAUGAACAAUUAUGAAAGAAUACUCAUCUAUCAACGAAAAUUCUUGUUAUCCUAAUUUCUAAGCUCAUCUAUUAACAAAAAUUCUUGUUAUAUUAAUUUCUAAGUCAAACUAUUCAUGAAAUUUAGUGAGAAAAUACUCAUCUAUCAAUAAAAUUCUAGUUAUACUAAUUUCUAAGUCACAAUCCCAAAUAUACAAUAGUUCUCUAUAGAAAUAAAAAAAUUCCAAAAAUAACAGUUUUGGUAAAAAUUAUUGAGAAACUGCAACCUAUUAAUGAAAAAUUCUGAAAAAUACUCAUCUAUCAAAGAAAAUUCUUGGUAUCCUAAUUUCAAAGUCAGAACCCCAAAUCUACAAUAGUACUCUAUACAAAUGAACACUUUCCAAAAAUAGCAGUUUUUGUAAAAAUGUAUUGAAAAAUGUAACCCAUUGAUGGAAAAUUAUGAAAGAAUAUUCAUCUAUCAAAAAAAAUUCUUGUUAUCCUUAUUUCUAAGUCACAAUCCCAAAUCUACAACAGUUCUCUAUAAAAAAUGAAAAUUUUCCAAAAAUAGCAGGUUUUGUAAAAAAUUGUUUUAAAAAUGCAACCUAUGGAAGAAAAAAAUCUGAAAAAAUACUUAAAUAUCAACAAAAUCUGAAAGAAUACUCAUAUAUUAAAACAAAUUCUUGUUGUCCUUAUUUCUAAGUCACAAUCCCAAGUCUACAACAGUUCUCUAUACAUAUGAAAACUUUCCAAAAACAUCAGUUGUUGUAAAAAGUAUUUAAGAAAUGGAUUCUAUUGAAGAAAAAUCUGAAAUAAUACUUAUAUAUCAACAAAAAUUCUUGUUAUCCUAAUUUCUAAGUGACAGUCUCACAUCUACAAUAGUUCUCUAUAUAAAUCAAAAUUUCCAAAAAUUAGAGGUUUUUUAAAACUUAUUUAAGAAAUGCAACCUAUUGAUGAAAAAUUCUGAAAAAUAUCCAUCUAUUAACAAAAAUUCUUGUUAUACUAAUUUCUAUGUUACAAUCCUAAAUCUACAAUAGUUCUCUAUAUAAAUGAAAAAUUUCCAAAAACAGGAGGUUUUUUAAAAAUUAUUUAAAAAGUGCAACCUAUUGAUAAAUUUUUUGAAAGAAUACUAAUCUAUUAACAAAAAUUCAUGUUAUACUAAUUUCUAAGACAAACUAUUGAUGAAAUUUUGUGAGAGAAUACUCAUCUAUCAACAAAAUUUUGUGACAGAAUACUAAUUUCUAAGUCACAAUCCCAAAUCUACAAUAGUUCUCUAUAGAAAUAAAAUUUUUCCAAAAAUAGCAGAUUUCGUAAAAAUUAUUGAGAAAAUGCAACCUAUUAAUGAAAAAUUCUGAAAAAUACUCAUCUAUAAAAGAAAAUUCCUGUUAUCCUAAUUUCAAAGUCACAACCCUAAAUCUACAAUAGUCCUCUAUACAAAUGAAAACUUUCCAAAAUUAGCUGUUUUUGUAAAAAUAUAUUGAAAAAUGUAACCCAUUGAUGGAAAAUUAUUAAAGAAUACUCAUCUAUCAAAAAAAAUUCUUGUUAUCCUAAUUUCUAAUUCACAAUAUCAAAUCUACAACAGUUCUCUAUAAAAAUGAAAAAUUUCCAAAAAUAGCAGGUUUUGUAAAAAAUUGUUUUAAAAAUCCAAUCUAUGGAAGAAAAAAUCUGAAAGAACACUUAAAUAUCAACAAAAAUUCUUGUUAUCCUAAUUUAUAAGUGACAAUCCCCAAUUUACAAUAGUUCUCUAUAUAAAUGAAAAUUUCCAAAAAUAUGAGGUUUUUUAAAACUUAUUUAAAAAAUGCAACCUAUUGAUGAAAUAUUUUUUAAAAAAAUACUAGGCCCAUCGAUUAACAAAAAUUCUUGUUAUACUAGUUUCUAAGUUACAAUCCUAAAUCUACAAUAGUUCUCUAUGUAAAUGAAAAAUUUCCAAAAACAUGAGCUUUUUUAAAAAUUAUUUAAAACGUACAACGUAUUGAUGAAAUUUUUUGAAAGAAUACUCAUCUAUUAACAAAAAUUCAUGUUAUACUAAUUCCUAAGUCAAACUAUUGAUGAAAUUUAGUGAGAGAAUACUCAUCUAUCAACAAAAUUCUAGUUAUCCUAAUUUCUAAGUCACAAUCCCAAAUCUACAAUAGUUCUAAAUAGAAAUAAAAACUUUCCAAAAAUAGCAGCUUUCGUAAAAACUAUUGAGAAAAUGCAACCUAUUAAUGAAAAAUUCUGAAAAAUACUCAUCUAUCAAAGAAAAAUCUUGUUAUCCUAAUUUCAAAGUCACAAACCCAAAUCUACAAUAGUACUCUAUACAAAUGAAAACUUUCCAAAAAUAGCAGUUUUAUGAAAAAAUAUAUUGAAAAAUGUAAGCCAUUGAUGGAAAAUUAUGAAAGAAUACUCAUCUAUCAAAACAAAUUCUUGUUAUCCUUAUUUCUAAGUCACAAUCUCAAAUCUACAACAGUUCUCUAUAAAAAUAAAAAUUUUCCAAAAAUAGCAGGUUUUGUAAAAAAUUGUUUUAAAAAUGCAAUCUAUGGAAGAAAAAAAUCUGAGAGAAUACUUAAAUAUCAACAAAAAUUCUUGUUAUCCUAAUUUCUAAGUGACAAUCCACAAUCUAAAUUAGUUGUCUAUUUAAAUGAAAACUUUCCAAAAAUAGAAGUUUUAUAAAAAAUUAUUUUAAAAAUGCAACCUACUGAUAAAGUUUUUUGAAAGAAUACUUAUAUAUCAAAGAAAAUUCUUGUUAUACUAAUUUCUAAGUGACAAUCCAAAUCUACAAUAGUUCUCUAUGUAAAUGAAAACUUUCCAAAAAUAAGAGGUUUUUUAAAAAUUAUUUAAAAAAUGCAACCUAUUGAUGAACAAUUCUGAAAGAAUACUCAUCUAUCAACGAAAAUUCUUGUUAUCCUAAUUUUAAAGUCAUAACCCCAAAUCUAUAAUAGUACUCUAUAAAAAUGAAAACUUUCCAAAAAUAGCAGUUUUUGUAAAUACUAUUGAAAAAUAUAACUUAUUGAUGAAAAAUUCUGAAAGAAUACUCUUCUAUCAAAACAAAUUCUUGCUAUCCUUAUUUCUAAGUCACAAUCCCAAAUCUACAACAGUUCUCUAUAAUAAUGAAAAAUUUCCAAAAAUUAGCAGUAUUUGUAUGAAUUAUUUAAAAAAUGCAAUCUAUAUAGAAGAAAAAAUCUCAAAAAAUACUCAUCUAUCAACAAAAUUCUCGGUAUCCUAAUUUUUAAGUCACAAUCCCAAAUCUACAAUAGUUCUCUAUAGAAAUAAAAACUUUCCAAAAAUAGCAGCUUUCGUAAAAAUUAUUGAGAAAAUGCAACCUAUUAAUGAAAAAUUAUGAAAGAAUACUCAUCUAUUAACAAAAAUUCAUGUUAUACUAAUUUCUAAGUCAAACUAUUGAUGAAAUUUUGUGAGAGAAUACUCAUAUAUCAACAAAAUUCUAGUUAUCCAAAUUUCUAAGUCACAAUCCUAAAUCUACAAUAGUUCUCUAUAGAAAUAAAAACUUUCCAAAAUAGCUGCUUUCGUAAAAAUUAUUGAGAAAAUGCAACAUAUUAAUGAAAAAUUCUGAAAAAUACUAAUCUAUCAAAGAAAAUUCUUGUUUCUAAUUUCAAAGUCACAACCCCAAAUCUACAAUAGUACUCUAUACAAAUGAAAACUUUCCAAAAAUAGCAGUUUUUGUAAAAAUAUAUUGAAAAAUGUAACCCAUUGAUGCAAAAUUAUGAAAGAAUACUCAUCUAUCAAAAAUAAUUAUUCUUAUCCUUAUUUCUAAGUCACAAUCUCAAAUCUACAACAGUUCUCUAUAAAAAUAAAAAAUUUCCAAAAAUAGCACGUUUUGUAAAAAAAUGUUUUAAAAAUGCCGUCUAUUGAAGAAAAAAUCUGAAAGAGUACUUAAAUAUCAACAAAAAUUCUUGUUAUCUUAAUUUUUAAGUAACAAUCCACGAUCUACAGUAGUUCUCUAUUUAAAUAAAAAAUUUCCUAAAAUAUGAGUUUGAUUAAAAAUUAUUUUAAAAAUGCAACCUACUAAUAAAGUUUUUUGAAAGAAUACUUAUAUAUCAACGAAAAUUCUUGUUAUCCUAAUUUGUAAGUGACAAUCUCAAAUCUACAAUAGUUCUCUAUGUAAAUGUAAACUUUCCAAAAAUAAGAGGUUUUUUAAAAAUUAUUUAAAAAAUGCAACCUAUUGAUGAAAAAUUCUGAAAGAAUACUCGUCUAUCAACGAAAAUUCUUGUUAUCCUAAUUUUAAAGUCACAACCCCAAAUCUAUAAUAGUACUCCAUAAAAAUGAAAACUUUCCAAAAACAGCAGU